AACAAGGCGUACCUGCGGACCUGCGGAGGGAUCAUUACAGAGUUCGUGCCCUCGCGGGUAGAUCUCCCACCCUUGUGUAUUUUCUACAUCUUGUUGCUUUGGCAGGCCGUUGGUUCGCCAACCACCGGCUCGCGGGCUGGUGCGUGCCUGCCAGAGGACCUCUCAAACUCGGUUUGUUAGUGUCGUCUGAGUACCAUAACAAUCGUUAAAACUUUCAACAACGGAUCUCAGAUCGGAAGA
Molecule: unclassified non-coding RNA, 240 nt
Filed under: soil metagenome
Description: partial contains 5.8S ribosomal RNA, internal transcribed spacer 2, and large subunit ribosomal RNA
Source: RNAcentral